UCAGGAAAGCCAUCACAUCACUAGUCCUGGCUAGCUAAAGUAGGAGCUCAAGGCAAAAGCACAACACGACCUCUGCAUGCUCUGUGAACUCUCUCACGGUCAACGACAUCUCGGAAAGAGACCUCCCCUGAAAAGCACACUGGGUGUUAUCACUGGGUGUGGUCCAGGUUUUCCAGGAUGCUGUCCAGGACAAGCCAUAUUUCCUGAUCACGUGAAAGCCUCGGUGGACGUAUGUGGAAUUGUGUGCAUCCGUGAAGGGAGGAGGAGGAUUCUAACUGGGAACAUGUGGCAGUUUAUCUUAAACACAGAAAAGAGGAAAGAGAGAGAGACAGAUAGAGGGACAGAGAGAAGGAGGAGGAGGAGGAGAUGUGUAUACGUGCAGAGCUGCACUAGUCUGUGUUACACAGUCUGGGGGAUUCCAGCCAGCUGCGUUGGGAGCACUGACCUUGGCAAAGAGUACACUGUUUUUCAGUCCCUGGGACAAACAAGUGUUAGAUAUAAGUGUCAACUGGUCAGCGGGCGAAUGAUUUACUGACAUUAAUAAAAAGAGAAAAGUAACUGCAUAAAAAAAUCGUCGUCUACUUUGAAGAAAAUACAAAACGAAUCAAAAAUGUCUCAUGGAUAUGCAGGUGUGCUGUUUUCAACUCAUUUAUGUAAUUCUGCCACAUUCUGUUACGUAAAUUAUGCAUUGUAAGUUAUUUUGAGGGAAAAUACCAUGAUGUACCAACAGUACAGGAUACAGGAUGGGAAGCUGUCGGGGUUAUUUAAUGUUGCAGGUGUGUGAAUGUGUGUGUUUCCAAGCUUAUUUUUUCCUUUAAUUAUGGUGCAGCUUUCCUUUUGAUCUCCUGGUACACAGGAGCCCUGAUUUAUUUUGAAGUGACUUGUUUUCUCUGACCAUAACUCUUGCGUCGAUGACAUUGUUGGAGCCUACAUCACGGGCUAAUGAUUUACACAUGUGUGCACUUCUAUGCGUGUUAUAUCACCACCUAUGUCUGCUCUAAUCAAGUCAAAGUUAAGUUCUGUGCCAGACAUUUAAUAUUUUGGGGGCUGUUCAGUACCUUGGGCAAUGUGGGAACUUGGUACAUAUUCUUCUCUAAAAUAAAAGCCAAACAGUGAAUCAUCUAUCAUCUCUCACUGCUUUGAAAACAAUGGUAUCAUUCUUACACUAAGAUCUGAUUGCUCUGGUUACUUGGCAAUGGCCAGCUUGAGAGGGAUCGUGUUAUUUCUCUUCAGUAUUACUUACCAUGUAGGCUGUGUGACUUGGAAAUGAACUCAUUAAGCAAAUAUUGAAGAGUAAGAAUUUCCUUUGUCCCUUUAAGCACACUACCCCUAUGUAGUGUCAACCUUUGGCCAACUUUGUUCUGGUGGAAAA
Toxotes jaculatrix (banded archerfish) is the source of this 1372-nucleotide long non-coding RNA. RefSeq lists it as uncharacterized. The transcript has 3 exons. NCBI's taxonomy places the organism in Eukaryota, Metazoa, Chordata, Actinopteri, Toxotidae. The record is from RefSeq and is a predicted model, not a curated record.